GUCAAUUUCUGUUCCAGUCUUUUCAAAACUUAGUUAGGUUUAGGAAAAGAUCAACAUGGUUAGGUUUAGGCAACAAACUACUUAGUUAGGUUUAAGAAAAGAUCGUGGUUUGGUUUAAAAUAACACUAGAAGUGCCGUAACUUGAGUACAGAAGUUCCAUGACAAAAACUACUUAGUUAGGUUUAGGAAAAGAUCGACUUGAUUAGGUUUAGGCAACAAACUACUUAGUCCAUUGCAACAUCACCGCCCUGCAGCAGAGCUACGCUUCCGCCAUUUGGGACUGAAAGCGACUCCUGGACGCCAGUAUAACAUCCGCCUACAAAGU
Long non-coding RNA from Sebastes umbrosus (honeycomb rockfish), 325 nucleotides. RefSeq lists it as uncharacterized. NCBI's taxonomy places the organism in Eukaryota, Metazoa, Chordata, Actinopteri, Perciformes, Sebastidae. The transcript is spliced from 2 exons. The record is from RefSeq and is a predicted model, not a curated record.